Molecule: ribosomal RNA, 300 nt
Filed under: uncultured Desulfovibrio sp.
Lineage: Bacteria; Pseudomonadati; Thermodesulfobacteriota; Desulfovibrionia; Desulfovibrionales; Desulfovibrionaceae
Description: bacterial SSU rRNA
Rfam family: Bacterial small subunit ribosomal RNA
Source: RNAcentral
AAUAAGUUCGUGACAGAGGCCGCAGUAAUACAGAGUGGGCGGGCGUUGUUGGGAAUUAGUGGGCGUAAAGGGCGCGUAGGCGGCCUGCUAGGUCGAACGUGAAAUCCCCGGGUUCAACCCGGGAACUGCGUCCGAAACUGGCAGGCUCGAAUCCGGGAGAGGGGUGUGGAAUUCCAGGUGUAGCGGUGAAAUGCGUAGAUAUCUGGAGGAACACCGGUGGCGAAGGCGGCAUCCUGGACCGGUAUUGACGCUGAGGCGCGAAAGCCAGGGGAGCAAACGGGAUUAGAUACCCGUGUAGUC